Molecule: ribosomal RNA, 433 nt
Filed under: uncultured bacterium
Lineage: Bacteria
Description: partial 16S ribosomal RNA
Rfam family: Bacterial small subunit ribosomal RNA
Source: RNAcentral
UGGGGAAUUUUGGACAAUGGGCGAAAGCCUGAUCCAGCAAUGCCGCGUGUGUGAAGAAGGCCUUCGGGUUGUAAAGCACUUUUGUCCGGAAAGAAAUCCUUGGCUCUAAUACAGUCGGGGGAUGACGGUACCGGAAGAAUAAGCACCGGCUAACUACGUGCCAGCAGCCGCGGUAAUACGUAGGGUGCAAGCGUUAAUCGGAAUUACUGGGCGUAAAGCGUGCGCAGGCGGUUUGCUAAGACCGAUGUGAAAUCCCCGGGCUCAACCUGGGAACUGCAUUGGUGACUGGCAGGCUAGAGUAUGGCAGAGGGGGGUAGAAUUCCACGUGUGAGCAGUGAAAUGCGUAGAGAUGUGGAGGAAUACCGAUGGCGAAGGCAGCCCCUGGGCCAAUACUGACGCUCAUGCACGAAAGCGUGGGGGAGCAAACAGGAUU